Chlorocebus sabaeus (green monkey) is the source of this 654-nucleotide non-coding RNA. Lineage: Eukaryota; Metazoa; Chordata; Mammalia; Primates; Cercopithecidae. The record is from RefSeq and is a predicted model, not a curated record.
CUUGCUUAAUACUGUCCAUUAGCUCUCAUGCCGGGUCAGCAAAAUGCUUUAAUUUUUAACUGUAGAACAUAUGACUCGGUUGAGUCUUUUUGUCUUUUUUUUUUUUUUUUUUUUUUUUAAGUAAACACAGAGUUGGGGGAAUUAGCCUGGGCAUGUUGCCUUAUGUUAGAAUGACUAAGUUAAACCUCUUAAUUUGUAUUUGUCCAAGGCAGACAUGAUAUAAGGAAUAUGCACUACCGUAGUAACUCCCCUGGCUGCAGAAACCACAGUGCAAGCCCGUCCGGGGUGGGGUGCUGACUGCCGUUUGCCGCUUUGAAAUGGGCAUUGCCAUGGUAAUGUGAAUCCCAUCAAUUCAGUAGAUGGGUGGGGAAAUGAAGAUUUCUCCCCAAAUCUUUAGGCAAAAGCCGCAGGCAUGACAGGCAAUGAGCAGGUGAAGAACCAAUGGAAAAGUAUUCAGAAACUCCUGUGUGAGCUAACAGGCUUCUGAAUGUAUCGCUGUGGUCCACAGAGAAGGCUGGAGAAGGUAGCAAGGAGAUGCUGUAUCAGCUACUACAGCCUUAAAACAAAGUUGGUGUCUCUUUGGACUUUAAAAUUGUUCCUAUGCAGCUUAUUUUAUUUUUGUUUAAUCAAAUAAACAAGAGGGUUUUCCAUGGC